AAAAAGGGUUUCUGCUAUGUUUGGCACAUGAGGGGGAGUAAUCUCACCCUUCGUGCGGAAUCGCAAUCAAGAGAUUUCGGAAGCAAAAUUUUUAUAACCAGGGCUGCUGGUGAUCAUUCGUCCCGGCGCCCUA
Molecule: small nuclear RNA, 133 nt
Filed under: Neogobius melanostomus (round goby)
Lineage: Eukaryota; Metazoa; Chordata; Actinopteri; Gobiiformes; Gobiidae
Description: U11 spliceosomal RNA (ENSNMLG00000003567.1)
Rfam family: U11 spliceosomal RNA
Source: Rfam by way of RNAcentral